CAUUUUAAUAUCCAAUGUAAGUGAUAUCGUACAUUUUUUAUUAAAAAAGUAGCUAGGUAACUGCUAGCUAGCCCCUUUUAUCUGCAACAAUAAAGGCAAUUGCAAACCUGACUGCAUUACAAUGGAUCUGCAUAUAUGCAUGCUUUCAUGGAACAAUUAGCUGAUGUGCCCCAUUUUUCUUUAUAAAAUAUGUUGAAACUACUUUUAUAUUUUGUUUUACACUUAACAAACAUUUAGCUCGAAUUUGUGCUUGUGUAGUCUCAACUUGUGCAGUUUUGUUCAUUGAUUGGGCUGGGUCUAUCAUUUAUGGAUAAGAAAUUAAUCUUUGUGUUUCUGGCUGUGUUCAUGACAUUAAGGCUCUUAUUGCCCUAACACCUGACACUAAUAUGAUUUAUCUGUUUUCCCCAGACACUCCCCUAACGGUAACUAAGUUGCUCCACCUCUCUUCUUAAAAAAAUAAUACUUCUUAACCCGAGCAUAAACUAAAAAUGAGAAAAACUUCUUUUUCAUAGCAACAGUAUACUCCAUUGCCUAUUUUGGGAAAAUGUUGUUUGGAGAAAAGGUAUCGAGUGAAGAUUCUUCUUCUUCACGUGUUACUCAUACUUUGAGAAACAAUCCAAUGUGCACUUGUGGGUCACCCGCCUCGCUUAGAACAUCGAAUACGCCAAGAAAUCCAGGUCGAUCAUUCUUUGGGUGUUCAAAGUAUAAUUCUCAGGGGUUACCACACUGCAAUUAUUUCAAAUGGGCAGAUAGUGAUAGCGGCCAUGAAAGAGAAAAAGAAGUAGUUAAAAUAGAAAUUAACUACUUAAGGAAUGAGGAAGAACUUCAGAAAACUAAGGCAUAGUUUCAGUUUCAACAAAUAGCCAAAGAGUUGCGAAGAAGAGAGGAAGAGGUUCAAAGAAGAGAGGAAGAUGUUCGAAAAAGAGAGGAAGAGGUUCGAAAUUGGAUGGAAGAGAUUCGAAAUUGGAUGGAAGAGGUUCGAAAAAGAGAUGGCGAAAUUGUCAAGAGGGACUUGGGAGUUGGCUGUCAAUGCAGAAAUAUAAAGCUCUAUCUUAUAAUUUGUAUAUUACUUUAUUUGUACUUCUCACGAUCACAGUGAAUACUCACUGAUUGUCAAACAUUUUGUAUAAAGCUUGAACUUGUGAAUUUGUGCUUUAGACUAGUAGUUAUGGAAAUGUGUAAGAAAUUAUUAGAACAA
Molecule: long non-coding RNA, 1198 nt
Organism: Carya illinoinensis
Lineage: Eukaryota; Viridiplantae; Streptophyta; Magnoliopsida; Fagales; Juglandaceae
Exons: 2
Source: RefSeq, a predicted model, not a curated record